This 1584-nucleotide ribosomal RNA is filed under the name Weissella confusa. RNAcentral describes it as "bacterial SSU rRNA". It matches the Rfam family "Bacterial small subunit ribosomal RNA". Lineage: Bacteria; Bacillati; Bacillota; Bacilli; Lactobacillales; Lactobacillaceae. The record is from RNAcentral.
AAAUUGAGAGUUUGAUCCUGGCUCAGGAUGAACGCUGGCGGCGUGCCUAAUACAUGCAAGUCGAACGCUUUGUGGUUCAACUGAUUUGAAGAGCUUGCUCAGAUAUGACGAUGGACAUUGCAAAGAGUGGCGAACGGGUGAGUAACACGUGGGAAACCUACCUCUUAGCAGGGGAUAACAUUUGGAAACAGAUGCUAAUACCGUAUAACAAUGACAACCGCAUGGUUGUUAUUUAAAAGAUGGUUCUGCUAUCACUAAGAGAUGGUCCCGCGGUGCAUUAGCUAGUUGGUAAGGUAAUGGCUUACCAAGGCGAUGAUGCAUAGCCGAGUUGAGAGACUGAUCGGCCACAAUGGGACUGAGACACGGCCCAUACUCCUACGGGAGGCAGCAGUAGGGAAUCUUCCACAAUGGGCGAAAGCCUGAUGGAGCAACGCCGCGUGUGUGAUGAAGGGUUUCGGCUCGUAAAACACUGUUGUAAGAGAAGAAUGACAUUGAGAGUAACUGUUCAAUGUGUGACGGUAUCUUACCAGAAAGGAACGGCUAAAUACGUGCCAGCAGCCGCGGUAAUACGUAUGUUCCAAGCGUUAUCCGGAUUUAUUGGGCGUAAAGCGAGCGCAGACGGUUAUUUAAGUCUGAAGUGAAAGCCCUCAGCUCAACUGAGGAAUUGCUUUGGAAACUGGAUGACUUGAGUGCAGUAGAGGAAAGUGGAACUCCAUGUGUAGCGGUGAAAUGCGUAGAUAUAUGGAAGAACACCAGUGGCGAAGGCGGCUUUCUGGACUGUAACUGACGUUGAGGCUCGAAAGUGUGGGUAGCAAACAGGAUUAGAUACCCUGGUAGUCCACACCGUAAACGAUGAGUGCUAGGUGUUUGAGGGUUUCCGCCCUUAAGUGCCGCAGCUAACGCAUUAAGCACUCCGCCUGGGGAGUACGACCGCAAGGUUGAAACUCAAAGGAAUUGACGGGGACCCGCACAAGCGGUGGAGCAUGUGGUUUAAUUCGAAGCAACGCGAAGAACCUUACCAGGUCUUGACAUCCCUUGACAACUCCAGAGAUGGAGCGUUCCCUUCGGGGACAAGGUGACAGGUGGUGCAUGGUUGUCGUCAGCUCGUGUCGUGAGAUGUUGGGUUAAGUCCCGCAACGAGCGCAACCCUUAUUACUAGUUGCCAGCAUUUAGUUGGGCACUCUAGUGAGACUGCCGGUGACAAACCGGAGGAAGGUGGGGAUGACGUCAAAUCAUCAUGCCCCUUAUGACCUGGGCUACACACGUGCUACAAUGGCGUAUACAACGAGUUGCCAACCCGCGAGGGUGAGCUAAUCUCUUAAAGUACGUCUCAGUUCGGAUUGUAGGCUGCAACUCGCCUACAUGAAGUCGGAAUCGCUAGUAAUCGCGGAUCAGCACGCCGCGGUGAAUACGUUCCCGGGUCUUGUACACACCGCCCGUCACACCAUGAGAGUUUGUAACACCCAAAGCCGGUGGGGUAACCUUCGGGAGCCAGCCGUCUAAGGUGGGACAGAUGAUUAGGGUGAAGUCGUAACAAGGUAGCCGUAGGAGAACCUGCGGCUGGAUCACCUCCUUUCUAAGGAA